UAAGGAAUAUUGGUCAAUGGGCGCAAGCCUGAACCAGCCAUGCCGCGUGGAGGAUGAAGGCCCUCUGGGUUGUAAACUUCUUUUAUCUGGGACGAAAAACGGGGAUUCUUCCCCACUUGACGGUACCAGGUGAAUAAGCACCGGCUAACUCCGUGCCAGCAGCCGCGGUAAUACGGAGGGUGCAAGCGUUAUCCGGAUUCACUGGGUUUAAAGGGUGCGUAGGCGGGCAGUUAAGUCAGUGGUGAAAUCUUUGGGCUUAACCCGGAAACUGCCAUUGAUACUAUCUGUCUUGAAUAUUGUGGAGGCCUGCGGAAUAUGUCAUGUAGCGGUGAAAUGCUUAGAUAUGACAUAGAACACCAAUUGCGAAGGCAGCAGGCUACGCAUAUAUUGACGCUGAGGCACGAAAGCGUGGGGAUCAAACAGGAUUAGAUACCCCUGUAGUCC
RNAcentral lists this ribosomal RNA (444 nucleotides) under uncultured bacterium. RNAcentral describes it as "bacterial SSU rRNA". It matches the Rfam family "Bacterial small subunit ribosomal RNA", at positions 355 to 796 of the family's 1533-position model. The record is from RNAcentral.